GGGACGGUGGUGUAGCCUGGCAGCAUAACUCCCUGUCACGGAGUAGGUCGCGGGUUCAAAUCCCGUCCGUCCCGCCU
This 77-nucleotide transfer RNA is filed under the name Candidatus Wolfebacteria bacterium RIFCSPLOWO2_01_FULL_38_11. RNAcentral's name for it is "tRNA-Asp". It matches the Rfam family "tRNA". Rfam says of the family: Transfer RNA (tRNA) molecules are approximately 80 nucleotides in length. Their secondary structure includes four short double-helical elements and three loops (D, anti-codon, and T loops). Further hydrogen bonds mediate the characteristic L-shaped molecular structure. tRNAs have two regions of fundamental functional importance: the anti-codon, which is responsible for specific mRNA codon recognition, and the 3' end, to which the tRNAs corresponding amino acid is attached (by aminoacyl-tRNA synthetases). tRNAs cope with the degeneracy of the genetic code in two manners: having more than one tRNA (with a specific anti-codon) for a particular amino acid; and 'wobble' base-pairing, i.e. permitting non-standard base-pairing at the 3rd anti-codon position. Lineage: Bacteria; Candidatus Wolfeibacteriota. The record is from RNAcentral.